UCGGUCUCGCGUCGUUGCGCCCGCAGGGGCACCCCGGUCAUUUGCGCCGCCUCUAGUGUUGACGCAGAUCUAGGCGCCCUAUUUCAGGGCCACGGAAAACCAAAAUUCGUGUGGAUUGGACACUUCAAAGAAAGCCUAGCUCCCUCCCGCUGGGGGAGAGAGAGAGAGAGCCCUGGGUGGGAGAAGAGAACAAAAAACUCGAGGGCAUAGAGAGAGAGAAAGCUGUUGCGGAGGACACUUCAAAGAAAGCCUAGCUCCCUCCCGCGUGGGGAAGCCAUUGCGGUUGCAUAGGACUAUAGGAGGAGCAAGUGCAUGCGAGAGGAAAAAGUAGGAGGAGGAGGGAGCAUGGAGGAGAGAGUGAAGGGUGGAGGUGAGCCAUUGGAGGUGGAGCAGCAGGAGCGGGCAGCGAGGCUGGCCAAAAGGAGAUUUGGCGCCGUGGGCCCGCCGCCCUCCAGCUGAGUAGGAAGCGGCGAGGGAGGAGGAGGUGGUGGAGGAGGAUCUCCUCUCACGUCAAAGAGUAGGAGAAAGCAUAAAGAGAGGAGGAGGAGAGGGGGAAGGGGGAGAGCUUCCAGGCCGCACAAAGCGAGAGAAAAGCUUCAGAAAGAAAGAAAAGCGAGUAGGAAAGAAGGCUUCAGAGGAAGAGCAAGGCAUCCAUCCAGUGAGUGGCGGUCGUGAUAAAUAGCGGCUCCGAGCCGAGGGCAUCCGGUGCUCUCGCCACUACCGCGCAUUGCCUUAGCUUGUGUAGCAGCAGCAGCAGCAGCAGCUGGCCCGGUGUUGUGUUGGAGCUUGGUGGUGAUGGCAUUGCAAGAGCAGGAAGAGGAUGACGGCGAUCAUGGCACGGAGGAGGAAGAAGAUGAGGAGGGGAUGAUGAGGGUGUGGGGGAGCUGAUCUCUCCUUGUCCCGAGGUGUGCUGUCCACUUGUGGAGUAGUAAGAUAUUGGCACAAUAGGCUCAAUCACUUUCUUUCUUUUUGCCAUUUUUUUCUUGGUUUGCUGUUCUUCCUCUCAUUCAUCAUUACAUACUCUUCCUCGUGUAAUCUUGUUCCCGUUUGCUGUUUGUUUCUCGGCGCCUUGCUUGCCCGGUUUAGAAUGGAAGGCAACGGUUGGCAAAAAAA
Long non-coding RNA from Panicum virgatum (switchgrass), 1113 nucleotides. RefSeq lists it as uncharacterized. The transcript is spliced from 2 exons. The record is from RefSeq and is a predicted model, not a curated record. Lineage: Eukaryota; Viridiplantae; Streptophyta; Magnoliopsida; Poales; Poaceae.